RNAcentral lists this ribosomal RNA (253 nucleotides) under uncultured bacterium. RNAcentral's name for it is "partial 16S ribosomal RNA". It matches the Rfam family "Bacterial small subunit ribosomal RNA", at positions 524 to 776 of the family's 1533-position model. The record is from RNAcentral.
UACGUAGGGUGCAAGCGUUGUCCGGAAUUACUGGGCGUAAAGCGUGCGCAGGCGGUUAUGUAAGACAGAUGUGAAAUGCCCGGGCUUAACCUGGGAACUGCAUUUGUGACUGCAUGGCUAGAGUUUGGCAGAGGGGGGUAGAAUUCCACGUGUAGCAGUGAAAUGCGUAGAUAUGCGGAGGAACACCGAUGGCGAAGGCAAUCCCCUGGGCCUGCACUGACGCUCAUGCACGAAAGCGUGGGGAGCAAACAGG